CUACGGGUGGCUCCAGUAAGGAAUUUUCGUCAAUGGGGGAAACCCUGAACGAGCAACGCCGCGUGGAGGACGACGGUCUUCGGAUUGUAAACUCCUUUUAUGAGGGACGAUAAUGACGGUACCUCAGGAAUAAGCCCCGGCUAACUCUGUGCCAGCAGCCGCGGUAAUACAGAGGGGGCAAGCGUUGUCCGGAAUUACUGGGCGUAAAGAGCACGUAGGCGGUCGCGCAAGUGGUGUGUGAAACCAAUCAGCUCAACUGAUUGACGCCAUGCCAAGCUGCGCGACUAGAGUCAUGGAGAGGUUAUUCGAAUUGCUGGUGUAGUGGUGAAAUGCGUAGAGAUCAGCAGGAAGACCAAGGGCGAAAGCAGAUAACUGGCCAUGAACUGACGCUCAGGUGCGAAAGCGUGGGGAGCAAACUGGAUUAGAUACCCGCGUAGUC
Molecule: ribosomal RNA, 439 nt
Filed under: uncultured bacterium
Lineage: Bacteria
Description: partial 16S ribosomal RNA
Rfam family: Bacterial small subunit ribosomal RNA
Source: RNAcentral